GGAAGGAUCAUAGCUCAGUAGCAAAGUAUUUGCCUUGGCUACACAAGGUCCCAGGUUCAAGUCCUGGUUUUUCCA
Molecule: non-coding RNA, 75 nt
Organism: Podarcis lilfordi (Lilford's wall lizard)
Lineage: Eukaryota; Metazoa; Chordata; Lepidosauria; Squamata; Lacertidae
Source: the annotation of a GenBank genome assembly